UUCAGAACUAUCUGUAACAUGCGGAAAUGCAACACAUCAAAGCCUGGACCUCAGGCUACAAAAUCAGAUAAAAAUUCAAAACAAAAGAUGCCUGAGGGAAGCUGGAAGUGUGAGAAAUGUAGCAAUAUUAACUAUCCGUUUAGGACAAAGUGCAACCUGUGUUUAAAAAAGCGCCGC
This is a long non-coding RNA of Hibiscus syriacus, 177 nucleotides long. RefSeq lists it as uncharacterized. NCBI's taxonomy places the organism in Eukaryota, Viridiplantae, Streptophyta, Magnoliopsida, Malvales, Malvaceae. The record is from RefSeq and is a predicted model, not a curated record. The transcript is spliced from 3 exons.